GAUGAACGCUGGCGGCGUGCCUAAUACAUGCAAGUCGAGCGAACAGACGAGGAGCUUGCUCCUCUGACGUUAGCGGCGGACGGGUGAGUAACACGUGGAUAACCUACCUAUAAGACUGGGAUAACUUCGGGAAACCGGAGCUAAUACCGGAUCAUAUAUUGAACCGCAUGGUUCAAUAGUGAAAGACGGUUUUGCUGUCACUUAUAGAUGGAUCCGCGCCGCAUUAGCUAGUUGGUAAGGUAACGGCUUACCAAGCCAACGAUGCGUAGCCGACCUGGGAGGGUGAUCGGCCACACUGGAACUGAGACACGGUCCAGACUCCUACGGGAGGCAGCAGUAGGGAAUCUUCCGCAAUGGGCGAAAGCCUGACGGAGCAACGCCGCGUGAGUGAUGAAGGUCUUCGGAUCGUAAAACUCUGUUAUUAGGGAAGAACAAAUGUGUAAGUAACUAUGCACGUCUUGACGGUACCUAAUCAGAAAGCCACGGCUAACUACGUGCCAGCAGCCGCCGUAA
RNAcentral lists this ribosomal RNA (513 nucleotides) under uncultured bacterium. RNAcentral's name for it is "partial 16S ribosomal RNA". It matches the Rfam family "Bacterial small subunit ribosomal RNA", at positions 28 to 523 of the family's 1533-position model. The record is from RNAcentral.